Molecule: ribosomal RNA, 1218 nt
Filed under: Triticum aestivum (bread wheat)
Lineage: Eukaryota; Viridiplantae; Streptophyta; Magnoliopsida; Poales; Poaceae
Description: partial small subunit ribosomal RNA
Source: RNAcentral
AUGGAUUCCCUCACAAACGGUGAGGUUGCUGAUUCUGAGACUCAGGUCACUCCCUUUGCUAAAGCUGGGUUUUUCAGCAAGAUGUCAUUUUGGUGGUUGAAUCCUCUAAUGAAGAUCGGUUACAAGAAACCCCUUGAGGACAAAGACAUGCCACUUUUAGGUGCCACAGAUCGAGCAUGCAACCAGUACUCGAUGUUCAUGGAGAAAAUGAAUGGCAAGGAGUCGCUAUCACACGCCACACCGUCAUUCUUCUGGACAAUUGUUUCUUGUCACAGGCGCGCAAUCUUGGUCUCAGGAUUCUUUGCUUUGCUCAAGGUUCUCACCUUAUCUGCUGGCCCAGUAAUCCUCAAGGCGUUCAUCAAUGUAUCACUUGGGAAAGGGACCUUUAAACACGAAGGCUAUGUGCUAGCUGCGUUAAUGUUCAUCUGCAAAUUCUGUGAAUCCCUGUCACAGAGACAGUGGAAUUUCCGCACUCGGAGAUUAGGACUGCAGGUGAGGUCACUCCUGUCAGCAGCUAUUUAUAAGAAACAGCAGAAGCUAUCAAAUGCAGCAAAAAAGAAGCACUCUUCUGGAGAAAUUUUGAACUAUGUGACUGUUGAUGCCCAUCGGAUUGGGGAAUUCCCAUUCUGGUUCCAUCAGACAUGGACAACAAGUGUUCAGCUUUGCAUUGCUCUGGCUAUUCUAUACAAUGCGGUUGGUGCUGCAAUGGUUUCAUCUUUGGUCGUUAUUAUUAUUGCUGUACUGUGCAAUAUUCCAUUGGCCAGACGGCAACACAAAUUUCAGAGUAAACUUAUGGAAGCACAAGAUGUGAGAUUGAAGGCCAUGUCCGAGUCAUUUGUUCAUAUGAAGAUCUUGAAACUUUAUGCAUGGGAAGCUCACUUCAAGAAGGUUAUCGAGGGGUUGAGAGAGGUUGAGUACAAGUGGUUGUCCGCAUUUCAGUUUAGGAGGGCAUACCAUAGUUUCCUGUGUUGGGCAUCACCUAAUUUUGUUUCUGCAGCGACCUUUCUAACAUGCUAUCUUUUGAAGACCCCUCUUGAUGCUAGCAAUGUCUUCACUUUUGUGGCAACCCUGCGUCUCGUGCAAGAGCCAGUUAGGUCAAUACCAGAUGUUAUCCGCGUUGUGAUACAAGCUAAGGUCGCUUUCACUCGAAUAUCGAAGUUCCUUGAUGCAUCUGAGCUUAAUGGGCAAGUUAGGAAAAAAAUACAACAUUGGCACUGA